This 94-nucleotide transfer RNA is filed under the name Caballeronia choica. Its description in RNAcentral is "tRNA-???(ggtt)". Lineage: Bacteria; Pseudomonadati; Pseudomonadota; Betaproteobacteria; Burkholderiales; Burkholderiaceae. The record is from RNAcentral.
GCGUUGUCUGCCGGAUCUCGUUCGUGGCGCCGAUGGUUGCUGGCGGACGCGGGGGCGAAGUGAAAAGGAGCGAGUGCCAUUCCCGCGCAAUGUC